UUGUUUUGCCAGCAUAUAUACAAAAACUAGAACAAUACAGAAAAUAUUAGCAUGGCUCUUGUACAAAGAUGAGAAGCAAAUUUGUGAAGCGUUAUGUUUUUAU
Manis javanica (Malayan pangolin) is the source of this 103-nucleotide small nuclear RNA. Lineage: Eukaryota; Metazoa; Chordata; Mammalia; Pholidota; Manidae. The record is from RefSeq and is a predicted model, not a curated record.